AUUCGUCGGGGAGAAUUUUUUUUUGUUUGUAAUAGAUAAAAAUUUUAGGUUAUGUAAUUGGUAACUUAUUUUAUUUUCAAACCUCUCUUCUACUUAGUUGGUUAGAGCUCCUUUUUAUAUAUUGUGAGUCUUGGGUUCGAUUCCUUCCCCUCCAUUCCAUUGUGUAAAAUUUUUAUUUCUACAAUAUUUAUCAAAAUUGAUUUCCUAAAA
Molecule: long non-coding RNA, 210 nt
Filed under: Olea europaea (common olive)
Lineage: Eukaryota; Viridiplantae; Streptophyta; Magnoliopsida; Lamiales; Oleaceae
Description: long non-coding RNA (OEUR_LNC000034)
Source: RNAcentral